Oryctolagus cuniculus (rabbit) is the source of this 135-nucleotide small nucleolar RNA. Lineage: Eukaryota; Metazoa; Chordata; Mammalia; Lagomorpha; Leporidae. The record is from Ensembl.
GCACCUGAAUCUUUUACAGUCCCUGAUGCUCUAUGAUGGUAUGGGGAUGGUUGGUGCCACGACAUGAGCAGAAGAAAUCCAGAUAGAUUGUUUUCCAUUCAUCUUGGAGCCUGUUUAUGAAACUCUGCUAUGUUA